RNAcentral lists this ribosomal RNA (601 nucleotides) under Dilophotes sp. C LB-2014. RNAcentral describes it as "partial 16S ribosomal RNA". It matches the Rfam family "Bacterial large subunit ribosomal RNA", at positions 1827 to 2711 of the family's 2925-position model. Lineage: Eukaryota; Metazoa; Arthropoda; Insecta; Coleoptera; Lycidae. The record is from RNAcentral.
CAUGUCUUUUUGUAGUUUAUUUAAAGUCUGGCCUGCUCGAUGAUGAUUAAAUUGCCGCAGUAUAUUAACUGUGCAAAGGUAGCAUAAUAAUUAGCUUCUUAAUUAGGGGCUUGUAUGAAAGGUUGAACAAGAAAAUAUCUGUCUCUAUUAAAGUUUUUAUUGAAAUUUAUUUUUAAAUUAAAAAGUUUAAAUAUUUUUGAAAGACGAGAAGACCCUAUAGAGUUUUAUAUUUAAAAUAAUUUAGGUUUUGGGAUUGUUAAUUUAUUUUUAUUAUUUAGUUGGGGUGACUUAAAGAUUGAUUUAAUUCUUUAAUAUUUAAAGUUAAUGAUAUUUAAUUUUUGAUUCUGUUAAUUUCAAGUUUAAAAAAAAUUACCUUAGGGAUAACAGCGUAAUUUUUUUUAAAAGCUCUAAUUAAAAAAAAAGAUUGCGACCUCGAUGUUGGAUUAAAAUUAAUUUAUGGCGAAGUAGCUUUAGGAUUAGGUCUGUUCGACCUUUAAAAUUUUACAUGAUCUGAGUUUAGACCGGCGUGAGCCAGGUUAGAUUCUAUCUUUAGGUUUAUAUUUUAUUUUAGUACGAAAGGACCAAUUAAAAAUUAUAUUAA